UACGGAGGAUCCAAGCGUUAUCCGGAUUCAUUGGGUUUAAAGGGUGCGUAGGCGGAAUGAUAAGUCAGCGGUGAAAUCCCUCGGCUUAACUGAGGAACUGCCGUCGAUACUGUCAAUCUUGAGUACAUUUGAUGUGGGCGGAAUGUGUCAUGUAGCGGUGAAAUGCUUAGAUAUGACACAGAACACCGAUUGCGAAGGCAGCUCACAAAACUGUAACUGACGCUGAGGCACGAAAGCGUGGGUAUCAAACAGG
Molecule: ribosomal RNA, 253 nt
Filed under: uncultured bacterium
Lineage: Bacteria
Description: partial 16S ribosomal RNA
Rfam family: Bacterial small subunit ribosomal RNA
Source: RNAcentral